UGGGGAAUAUUGCGCAAUGGGCGCAAGCCUGACCGAGCGACGCCGCGUGCGGGAUGAAGGCCUUCGGGUUGUAAACCGCUUUGGUCCGAAAGAAAGGGUAAAACUUGAUCGAUCGGAGAAACAAGGACGGGCUAAGUUCGUGCCAGCAGCCGCGGUAAGACGAACCGUCCAAACGUUAUUCGGAAUCACUGGGCUUAAAGGGCGCGUAGGCGGCCGAGCGGGUCGUGGGUGAAAUCCUCCAGCUUAACUGGAGAACUGCUUACGAUACCACUGCGGCUCGAGGAAGGAAGGGGUCAUGGGAACUGUCGGUGGAGCGGUGAAAUGCGUUGAUAUCGACAGGAACGCCUGUGGCGAAAGCGCAUGACUGGUCCUUUUCUGACGCUGAGGCGCGAAAGCCAGGGGAGCAAACGGGAUUAGAUACCCCCGUAGUCCCUGAGCGGGCUGGCAAGGCGCAU
RNAcentral lists this ribosomal RNA (455 nucleotides) under uncultured bacterium. RNAcentral describes it as "bacterial SSU rRNA". It matches the Rfam family "Bacterial small subunit ribosomal RNA", at positions 355 to 825 of the family's 1533-position model. The record is from RNAcentral.